Non-coding RNA from Nothobranchius furzeri (turquoise killifish), 842 nucleotides. The record is from RefSeq and is a predicted model, not a curated record. Lineage: Eukaryota; Metazoa; Chordata; Actinopteri; Cyprinodontiformes; Nothobranchiidae.
GUUAAAAAAUGUGAUUUAGUUCCCCGGCUGAGCUGGUGUCGAGUCCAUCUUUUCUUCUGCUGGCAUCUUGGCAUCCUGCUCUGUUCCUGCAGAGGUGUUGGGAGGAGGAGGAGGCGCUCAGCUGACUGGAGGCUUCAUUCACAAAGCCAAGCACGGCGAUAUGGGAGCUCAUUUCCGCCACGUCAGAGAAAAACGCUCAAAGAAAGUAAUCCUCAGGUGUCAGCAGGAGGAGGUGACCACCUGCAUAACGGAGCACCCUGGUUCUGAGCCAGUUGCACCUUUGUGCAGCUCUUUGGGGAGACGAUGAUCAGCAGACACAUGCCUCCGUGUGGUCAGGUGGUGUUGGUGUGAUCUGGGAGGGCACACUCAUGUCGUCAUCUCCUUGUGCCGUCUCCAGGAUCAUGAUGGGAGAUCUCUGUGCCUGUAAAGCAGGGGUAUUUACUUCUGGGCCUGGAGGGGCGGUAUCCAGCACGUUUUAAUUUUAACUCUGUUUCAACACACCUGAUUUCAGUCAGCAGAUAAUUAACAGGCUUCUGCAGAGCUGCUGCACAGGUAAUUCAACCACUGAUUCAAGUGUGUUGGAGCAGGGAAACAAAUAAAACGUGCUGGAUACCAGCCAUCCAGGACUAGAAUUGAAUACCCCUGCUAUAAAGCCUUCCUCCCUCCUCUGGACUUUAAACAUUAGUAUUUUAUAAUGGUUCACCUGAUUUAGUAAAUAAAUCUCAAUUUAUAAAUUUCCUGUUUUGGUGCCUGUCCAUAAAAUCCUGCAUUAGACACUGAAAGCUGAAUGGAUGCCUUUCAUUCACGUUGGCAUUCAAUGUAUUUUUUAAGAUACACUUGAA